RNAcentral lists this transfer RNA (74 nucleotides) under Candidatus Micrarchaeota archaeon CG1_02_51_15. Its description in RNAcentral is "tRNA-Pro". It matches the Rfam family "tRNA". From Rfam's summary of the family: Transfer RNA (tRNA) molecules are approximately 80 nucleotides in length. Their secondary structure includes four short double-helical elements and three loops (D, anti-codon, and T loops). Further hydrogen bonds mediate the characteristic L-shaped molecular structure. tRNAs have two regions of fundamental functional importance: the anti-codon, which is responsible for specific mRNA codon recognition, and the 3' end, to which the tRNAs corresponding amino acid is attached (by aminoacyl-tRNA synthetases). tRNAs cope with the degeneracy of the genetic code in two manners: having more than one tRNA (with a specific anti-codon) for a particular amino acid; and 'wobble' base-pairing, i.e. permitting non-standard base-pairing at the 3rd anti-codon position. Lineage: Archaea; Nanobdellati; Microcaldota. The record is from RNAcentral. RNAcentral also lists the same sequence under 1 other name.
GGGGACGUGGGACAACCUGGUUAGCCUACCAGAUUCGGGAUCUGGCGAUCCGAGUUCAAAUCUCGGCGUCCCCA